This 234-nucleotide ribosomal RNA is filed under the name uncultured bacterium. RNAcentral describes it as "partial 16S ribosomal RNA". It matches the Rfam family "Bacterial small subunit ribosomal RNA", at positions 118 to 351 of the family's 1533-position model. The record is from RNAcentral.
UGAGUAACCUGCCCUUAACUCUGGGAUAAGCCUGGGAAACUGGGUCUAAUACCGGAUAUGACUCCUCAUCGCAUGGUGGGGGGUGGAAAGCUUUAUUGUGGUUUUGGAUGGACUCGCGGCCUAUCAGCUUGUUGGUGAGGUAAUGGCUUACCAAGGCGACGACGGGUAGCCGGCCUGAGAGGGUGUCCGGCCACACUGGGACUGAGAUACGGCCCAGACUCCUACGGGGGGCAG